UCUCUGGUGUCGCAGACACUAAAGCAGUCGGUCAUGUUUUUCUGUGUUCUGAUCAACGCUGAAUAAACUUGUAAAUAAUGCUCUCCUGGGUGCAACUUUUGCUGUGACUAUCUGCUGAUAGAGUGUGCAUGAGCUCUGGAAUGUGGCAAGAAAUCUUCUAGAAACUCAUGUCGCUAAUUGUUGAUACUGCGUGACUACGGGAGGUCGAUGGAUCGUCCGGCAGACGGCUUGGGGGCCUUGAUGGACUUUAUCUCCCUGGCAGUAUCCCAACAACAGGUAUCGGGCCCAGAUUCACAGCACUUACAGGAGAGUAAGACUGCGACAGACUGCUGAAAGGUAUGUGGAAGAAAAGCGAAAGUGAGGCUUUUCUGUUUGCCGAGGCAAGGGCCUUUGAACUCCGGCAGAUUAAUGGAUCUGGGAGCCGCGCCAAAGGCCUCAAGAUUUAUGAGCUGCUAAGAUAAGACGUCUCUGAAGUGAAUAAGAUUCACGGCUCAAGUAGAAACCUGGAAUGGAGUUUUUCCAGGCUUCUGAGGCUGCUGAGUGCCCAAAGUUAAAUCGGCACAACUAUCAGACCUGGGCAAAAUGGUGUGAGAGUUUGCUGCGUCAGUUUGGAGUGUGGCAUACUGUGUGUGAAGCCCCUCCAGUUCCUCUGACAGAUAGAUGGAGGGCCGCGAAUUCGAAGGCGAUAGACGUAAUCGUCUUGUCCGUCUCUCUGGAGGAAAUAAAAACGCUAGCUGGCAAUCUGACUGCACGAAAGAUGUGGCAUGCUUUGAAGAUAGCCCAUCUGCCAGUCAUCCCAGCCCAGAGUUUGACUGCAUCGGAGGUCCUGGCUGUUUCCCAGAAUGCGAGUGAAUGCAGGGAUGCUGAGGGCACCGGUUGCAAGCUGCAGGGGGAGCUGACUGUCACGUCAUCCCAGGCAGCAUUCCAGCCUCCAGGGGAGCCAAGGAGUCGGCAGCUGAGAGCUCUGUUUCUCAUGGGAGCCAAGGUCAUCGCCUUUGCAGAGGCCAGAAGGGCAAAGGUAAACAGAGGCAGACGCCUGCAGAUGGCCAGGAGCAGGGGGGCAAGCUGCAAAAGCCCACGCCAGUAGAAAACAAGGUUUUGUUUACUGGCACAGCCUCACCAAAGGCUAAAGGCAAGUCUGAUGGCCAGGAGCAGGGGGGCAAGCUGCAAAAGCCCACGCCAGUGGAAAACAAGGUUUUGUUUGCUGGCACAGCCUCACCAAAGGCUAAAGGCAAGUCUGAUGGCCAGGAGCAGGGGGGCAAGCUGCAAAAGCCCACGCCGGUGGAAAACAAGGUUUUGCUUGCUGCAAAGACUGCUCCAAAGGUCAUGGCCAGGUUUGUUGUUGAUUCAGGCUGUACCCGCCAUGUCUCAAAAGACCGCCACCUAUUUAUCUCCUUCAAACCUCAAGAAGGUGAGAUCCACCUGGCUGACGGAAAGACGUUGCGAAUCGCAGGAGAAGGGACUGUGAAACUGGCAAGUCUGCACACUACCAUCAAAGAUGUACUAUAUGUUCCAGGCGCUGCAGACAAUUUGCUCAGUGUCCCACAGCUGACUGGGCGUGGUUUUGAGAUUUCCUUCAAGAGGAGCGUCUGUGUCAUCAGAAAAGGCAAAGAGGACAUUUUGCAUGCAAAGUUUAUGGAUGGCUUGUUCUGUAUAACUUAUGAUGACAUUGGUGCUGUUGUGUCUAAUGCUGAUUCUUGUUGUGUUGCACAAACUAACAAAGUUCUUCAUGCAGGAUGCAUUCAUGAUGCACACAGAAGAUUUUGUCACAUGUCUUGGCAGGCGCUGGCCAAGAUGCCAGAGAUGGUUGAGGGUUUGAACAUCAAACCCUGUAAGUUUCACAUGAAAUGUGUAUCUUGUGCAGAGAACAAGGUGAAGGUUGCUCCAAAAGGCAAGGAGUCUAGCAGGCAGGCUUCCAAACCCUACCAGCUAGUGCACGCAGACCUGGUUGGUCCACUUGCGCCCUCUUUGGGUGGAGCAAGGUACUUCAUGGUUCUAAUUGAUUCUUUUUCCAGGUACAUUCAUGUGUUUAUGCUCGAGCAGAAAUCGCAAGCGUUUCCUAAGUUCAAGGCAUUCUGUGCUUGGUUGGAGAAUGUUCAUGGUAAACGCAUUGGCUGUCUGUUUACUGAUCGAGGCGGGAGUUCACUUCUCAGCAGUUUGAAGCUUUCCUGACUGAGAAGGGAAUCCAGCAUAGCCUCUCAAGUCCUGGAUCUCCAUGGGAGAUUUGUGAGCAAGCAAAGCAAACGUUGCUGCAAGGACUGAAAACAUUGUUGCAUGAUGCCAAUCUCCUGAGAAGUUUUGGGGGGAGUCUUUGAACUCGUUUGUUUACACUUUUAAUCGCAGGUUGUCAUCACCUAUUGGUUGUACUCCCUAUGAGAAGAUGUUUGGUAAGAAACCCAACAUCAAGCACAUGAGAAUCUUUGGUUCUGACAUGUGGGUACACACCCCACAGAGCAACAAGCUUGGGAAGCGUGGGGCACAUGGUUUGUUCAUGGGGUACGAAAAGGUGCAUACAGGGUAUGGAUGACCAACUCUAAGUCCAUUAAGUUCACAAAGAGUGUUGAGUACAAUCCUAAGUGGGGGGAAAAUGUGGGAAUUUUCCAGAGUUACCCAGAGGAGGAUGAAGGUGAUGUCAAAGAAGCAGCUAAAGCUGAGGAAGCUGCUGAGGAUGAUGAUGAUGAUGAUGAUCAGAGUUCGGAUUCCAGUUCAGUGGGCGGCGCUGCUGCUGGUGUCAGUGACAGUGAUGACACAGCAGACUACAAGAGCGCAAAGGCCUCAGUCAGACCAUCUGAUGCGUCUGACAAUGAACUGGAAGAACCACUGUUCACCAUUGGUCACUUUUCUCCUAAGAAAGAGGAGAUGAGUCCAGAAGACUUGCGUCUAGUACGCAGAUCUGAGAGAGCCACGAAGGGCAGACCUCCAAAGAGAUUUGCUGAUGAGUUUGCUAAGACAGCAACUGCUGUUCUUAGUAGCUCAGAGAAGGUGUGGGAACCUUCAAGCUUCAAAGAGGUUCAGGAGUUAACCUCUAAAGAUGCUGAGCCUUGGCUUAAUGCCAUGAAGGCUGAAGUUGAUUCCUUGAAUAGGAACCAAACUUGGGAGUUGGUACCGGUAGUCCCAGGAAUGAGACUGGUUGGCAGCAAAUGGGUCUUCAAGGCCAAGACAGACCAGAAUGGCAAGGUUGUCAGACACAAAGCCAGAUUGGUUGCCAGAGGUUUUUCACAGGUACCAGGACAGGAUUACCACGAGACCUACUCACCCACCGUCAAAUAUGAGAGCAUUCGGCUGAUGCUCAAGAUAGCUGCAGAGGAGAAACUGCAUGUUUCCCAUCAUGACAUUAAUACAGCUUUUUUGUACGGGAUUCUGGGGAGGAGCUGUUUAUGCUUCCACCUGAUGGGAUGCAGAUACAGAAGGGAAUGGUCUGUAAACUGCGGAAAUCCUUAUAUGGUCUCAAGCAGAGUGCCAGGUGUUGGAACACGAAACUCACUGAGACGUUGCUUUCUCUAGGUUUUCACCAGGGCAAAGCUGAUCCAUGUGUGUUUGUCAAGGAGGAGGGGCAAAACAAACUGUAUUGUUUAUGUUUUGUUGAUGAUCUUCUGAUGUUUUGGAAGAAUCAGGCUUUCUACCAAAGCACCCUAGCUCAGCUGAAGGAGCACUUUGACAUGAAGGAUCUUGGUGAGGUAUCCAACUAUCUUUCUCUGCAGGUGGAGAGGGACCAAGCAGGUAAUUUUCUGGUACACCAAACACAGAAAAUUGCUGAUGUAUUAACCAGGUUGAAUUUGGUUGAUGCAAACCCAGCAGACACACCGAUGGUGACAGGUUACCAGGUAGACAGUACUGCUGAAGCGUUUUCUGACACAACGCUGUACAGAUGCAUUCUAGGCAAGUUGAAUUUCAUUGCUAGAUGCUCAAGACCUGACAUAGCUGUAAGCACUAACCUGCUUAGCAGACAUGCCAACAAUCCUACUGUUCAGGAUUGGAAAGCUCUGAAGCGCAUAGCCCGCUAUUUGAAAGGGACUUUGCACUACAGGCUGAGGUUCACCAGUCAGAAGACUGGAGGUCUUGAAAUCUUUGCAGAUGCAAGUUUUGGAAGUGACACCACGGAUGGUACAAGCACUUCUGGAGUAUGCUACAUGUACAACCACUGCCUGUUUGACUGGUUGUGCAAAAGCAGACGACAGUGAGCCUAAGUUCCUGUGAAGCAGAACUCAAUGCUCUGUCAUUUUCACUCAUGGAUUGUGAAUGGUUGAUGCAACUGUUUAAGGACAUCGGAGUUUCUGUGAAAUGUCCUGUACAAGUGUAUCAAGACAAUAGAUCGUGUUUGGCUUUGCUGAACUCAGAGAGUUGCAAGCAAAGGACCAAGUACUUGCAGAUUAAGCUACAUCGUGCAAGAGAGUGUAUUCAGAAAGGACUCAUUCAGGUGUCCUACAUGCCAGGAAAUGAAAUUCCUGCUGAUCUGUUGUCUAAGGUUGUUAACAGAGAACAACUUAAGGUUUACGUACAAAGGUUGCAAUUGGGUUGAACCACAGGUACUACAGGUUACACGGAAAGGGGGAGGAUGUUAGGAUAUUUCCGUUCCACCUUAAAAGGGAGCAGGCUUUGUGAGUCAGAGUCUGCGUAUUUCCUGUUCACAGGAUGUUUAUGUUUUCUGUUGCUUUCGUUUUCUCUCUGGUGUCGCAGACACUAAAGCAGUCAGUCAUGUUUUUCUGUGUUCUGAUCAACGCUGAAUAAACUUGUAAAUAAUGCUCUCCUGGGUGCAACUUUUGGCUGUGACUAUCUGCUGAUACAGUGUGCAUGAGCUCUGGAAUGUGGCAAGAAAUCUUCUAGAAACUCAUGUCGCUAAUUGUUGAUACUGCGUGACUACGGGAGGUCAAUGGAUCGUCCGGCAGACGGCUUGGGGGCCUUGAUGGAUUUUAUCUCCCUGGCAGUAUCCCAACA
This 4935-nucleotide long non-coding RNA is filed under the name Podarcis lilfordi (Lilford's wall lizard). Lineage: Eukaryota; Metazoa; Chordata; Lepidosauria; Squamata; Lacertidae. The record is from RNAcentral.